GACGAACGCUGGCGGCGUGCCUAAUACAUGCAAGUAGAACGCACAUUUUAUACCUUGGUUUGAUACACUAUAGACUGUGAGUUGCGUACGGGUGAGUAACCCGUACUUAACCUGUCUGGUAGCUUGGGAUAACUAUAGGAAACGAUAGCUAAUACCGCAUAAUACUUAUUAUUGCAUUAUAAUUUAUCGUAUGAUGCUAUCUUAUCACUACCCCAGGGACCUGCGUUGUAUUAGCUAGUAGGUGAGGUAACGGCUCACCUAGGCGACGAUACAUAGCCGACCUGAGAGGGUGAUCGGCCACACUGGGACUGAGACACGGCCCAGACUCCUACGGGAGGCAGCAGUAGGGAAUCUUCCGCAAUGGACGAAAGUCUGACCGAGCAACGCCGCGUGAGUGAAGAAGGUUUUCGGGUCGUAAAGCUCUGUUGUAAGAGAAGAACGAGUGUCGGAGUGGAAAGUUCACACUGUGACGGUAUCUAACCAGAAAGGGACGGCUAACUACGUG
This 505-nucleotide ribosomal RNA is filed under the name uncultured bacterium. RNAcentral describes it as "partial 16S ribosomal RNA". It matches the Rfam family "Bacterial small subunit ribosomal RNA", at positions 28 to 507 of the family's 1533-position model. The record is from RNAcentral.